Molecule: ribosomal RNA, 253 nt
Filed under: uncultured bacterium
Lineage: Bacteria
Description: partial 16S ribosomal RNA
Rfam family: Bacterial small subunit ribosomal RNA
Source: RNAcentral
UACAGAGGGGGCAAGCGUUGUUCGGAAUUACUGGGCGUAAAGGGCGCGUAGGCGGCCUGCUAAGUCGAACGUGAAAUCCCCGGGCUCAACCCGGGAACUGCGUCCGAUACUGGUUGGCUUGAAUCCGGGAGAGGGAUGCGGAAUUCCAGGUGUAGCGGUGAAAUGCGUAGAUAUCUGGAGGAACACCGGUGGCGAAGGCGGCAUCCUGGACCGGCAUUGACGCUGAGGCGCGAAAGCCAGGGGAGCGAACGGG